RNAcentral lists this transfer RNA (77 nucleotides) under Deltaproteobacteria bacterium. RNAcentral describes it as "tRNA-Lys". It matches the Rfam family "tRNA". Rfam says of the family: Transfer RNA (tRNA) molecules are approximately 80 nucleotides in length. Their secondary structure includes four short double-helical elements and three loops (D, anti-codon, and T loops). RNAcentral also lists the same sequence under 1 other name. The record is from RNAcentral. Lineage: Bacteria; Pseudomonadati; Myxococcota; Myxococcia.
GGGUGCGUAGCUCAAUCUGGCAGAGCACCGGACUCUUAAUCCGUAGGUUGUAGGUUCGAUUCCUACCGCACCCACCA